This 843-nucleotide ribosomal RNA is filed under the name uncultured bacterium. RNAcentral's name for it is "bacterial SSU rRNA". It matches the Rfam family "Bacterial small subunit ribosomal RNA", at positions 20 to 906 of the family's 1533-position model. The record is from RNAcentral.
UGGCUCAGGAUGAACGCUGGCGGUAUGCUUAACACAUGCAAGUCGAACGGUCUCUUCGGAGAUAGUGGCGGACGGGUGAGUAACGCGUAAGAAUCUACCUUCAGGUUGGGGACAACCACUGGAAACGGUGGCUAAUACCGAAUGUGCCGAGAGGUGAAAGGCUUGCUGCCUGAAGAAGAGCUUGCGUCUGAUUAGCUAGUUGGUGUGGUAAAGGCGCACCAAGGCGACGAUCAGUAGCUGGUCUGAGAGGAUGAUCAGCCACACUGGGACUGAGACACGGCCCAGACUCCUACGGGAGGCAGCAGUGGGGAAUUUUCCGCAAUGGGCGAAAGCCUGACGGAGCAAUACCGCGUGAGGGAGGAAGGCUCUUGGGUUGUAAACCUCUUUUCUCAGGGAAGAAAAAAAUGACGGUACCUGAGGAAUAAGCAUCGGCUAACUCCGUGCCAGCAGCCGCGGUAAUACGGAGGAUGCAAGCGUUAUCCGGAAUGAUUGGGCGUAAAGGGUCCGCAGGUGGCAUUGUAAGUCUGCUGUUAAAGAGUCUAGCUCAACUAGAUAAAAGCAGUGGAAACUACAAAGCUAGAGUAUGGUCGGGGCAGAGGGAAUUCCUGGUGUAGCGGUGAAAUGCGUAGAUAUCAGGAAGAACAUCGGUGGCGAAGGCGCUCUGCUAGGCCAAAACUGACACUGAGGGACGAAAGCUAGGGGAGCGAAUGGGAUUAGAUACCCCAGUAGUCCUAGCCGUAAACGAUGGAUACUAGGCGUAGCUCGUAUCGACCCGAGCUGUGCCGUAGCUAACGCGUUAAGUAUCCCGCCUGGGGAGUACGCAGGCAACUGUGAAACUUAAAG